Molecule: transfer RNA, 72 nt
Filed under: Axinella corrugata
Lineage: Eukaryota; Metazoa; Porifera; Demospongiae; Axinellida; Axinellidae
Description: tRNA-Cys
Rfam family: tRNA
About the family: Transfer RNA (tRNA) molecules are approximately 80 nucleotides in length. Their secondary structure includes four short double-helical elements and three loops (D, anti-codon, and T loops). Further hydrogen bonds mediate the characteristic L-shaped molecular structure. tRNAs have two regions of fundamental functional importance: the anti-codon, which is responsible for specific mRNA codon recognition, and the 3' end, to which the tRNAs corresponding amino acid is attached (by aminoacyl-tRNA synthetases). tRNAs cope with the degeneracy of the genetic code in two manners: having more than one tRNA (with a specific anti-codon) for a particular amino acid; and 'wobble' base-pairing, i.e. permitting non-standard base-pairing at the 3rd anti-codon position.
Source: RNAcentral
UGAUGUGUAGCUUAAUGGCAGAGCAAAAGGUUGCAAACCUAUUGGUUGUUGGUUCAACUCCAGUCGCAUCAU